AGUGAACGCUGGCGGUAGGCCUAACACAUGCAACUCGAACGGCAGCACAGUAAGAGCUUGCUCUUACGGGUGGCGAGUGGCGGACGGGUGAGGAAUAAAUCGGAAUCUACUUUUUCGUGGGGGAUAACGUAGGGAAACUUACGCUAAUACCGCAUACGACCUACGGGUGAAAGCAGGGGAUCUUCGGACCUUGCGCGAUUGAAUGAGCCGAUGUCGGAUUAGCUAGUUGGCGGGGUAAAGGCCCACCAAGGCGACGAUCCGUAGCUGGUCUGAGAGGAUGAUCAGCCACACUGGAACUGAGACACGGUCCAGACUCCUACGGGAGGCAGCAGUGGGGAAUAUUGGACAAUGGGCGCAAGCCUGAUCCAGCCAUACCGCGUGGGUGAAGAAGGCCUUCGGGUUGUAAAGCCCUUUUGUUGGGAAAGAAAAGCAGCAGGUUAAUACCCCGCUGUUCUGACGGUACCCAAAGAAUAAGCACCGGCUAACUUCGUG
Molecule: ribosomal RNA, 492 nt
Filed under: uncultured bacterium
Lineage: Bacteria
Description: partial 16S ribosomal RNA
Rfam family: Bacterial small subunit ribosomal RNA
Source: RNAcentral